Molecule: long non-coding RNA, 6835 nt
Filed under: Sus scrofa (pig)
Lineage: Eukaryota; Metazoa; Chordata; Mammalia; Artiodactyla; Suidae
Description: lncRNA (ENSSSCG00050038148.1)
Source: RNAcentral
AAAGCCAAGGAGGAAAACUGCCCAUUGGGUUUAUUCAUUUUUAUAUGAAAUCAUAAAAUAGCGACGGAAAGGGGGGAAAAGGGCAGCUUUUUAUUUUUAUACAGCAGACCCUAGAGUCACACUCUGAUUCCAUGUGCAUUAACAUUUUGCCGCACAAGCCCCAGAUCCCUCAGUAAAAUAAAUGCCAAACCCGUUUACCUCGUUACGCAUACCACUGCAAAAAUCAUCACUGUGUUGCUUCCUUGUAUCCACAUGUGAAGGUCCAGGCCUGGAAGCAGAAGGGCUGGAUUUGUUUCCCACAUCCUCACCACCACUUUUGGGGUGCUGGAGGUGAGCUUGGGUGAAGAGUGUCUGAACGUUGGAUGAGAAAAUCUUCACCCACUGGCUCAGAGAUGCCAUAUGUGUUCUUGUCUCCACCUGGACUCUCGGCGGAAAAAUUCUUUCCUGAAAAACUAGAUUCCAGGCCUGUACUUCGAACAUCUUGAGGGAUACAGGUUUAUACCACCGGAAUUCUAAGCUAAUAAUUAACGUUUAUUUAGCUCCAGGCCAGUCCUGGGCGUCUGGCAUAAACAAAAGCAGAACCAUGCAUGGGUGUGCUCCCAAACCAGGUUCCAGAACAUGUGUGUAGGUGGACUUUCUGAAUCUGAGCUCGGAUGGUCCACAUUUACCCAAAGUGGGAGGGUUAGCACUUCCAAGAAAUUCAUGCACUGAAGCAACCUGGACGUAAAUAUGAAAGUUUUAAAUGAAUAAAUAAAAAACAAAGAAACUGAAAUUCUAAGUAGAGAACAAGAUUUAGAAAAGAACCUAAACAAACUUUUAGAAAUGACCAUACAGCUACGUGGAACUUAAACUUAAUGGAACAGUUAAAAGUAAAUUAGAGUCAGCUAAAGAGAGAAUUCGUGAACUGGAAGAUGGAUAUUACAGGCAAAGUAGUAUACUCACAAAAUUCAUAUGUUAAAGCCCCCUCCCAGUACCUCGGAAUGUGACUGUAUUUUGAUAAAAGAUUUUUAAAUAGUUACAUAAGUGAAAGCAAGGUCAUUGGGGUGAGCCCUAAUCCUAUAUGACUGGUGUCCUUACAAGAAGAGGGAUUUGGACAGACACACAGGGAAAACCAUGUGAAGACGUGGGCAGAAGAUGGUCAUCCACAAGCCCCAGUGGGAGGUCUCCAAAGAAACCAACCCUCCCAACACCGCGGUCUUGAACUUCUAGCCUCCAGAAUUGUGAGAAAUAAUUUACUAUUGUCCAAAGCCAUCUGUUCUGUGGUAUUUCAUAUGGCAGCCAUAACAGACUAAAAUCACAGAUUUUUUUUCUCUUUUUUGGCCACAUCCACAGCAUGUGGAAGUUCCUGGGCCAGGGAUUGAAUCCAAGCCUCAAAUGCAACCUAUGCCACAGCUGCAGUAACACCAGAUCUUUAACCCACUGCACCAGGCUGGGGAUCAAACCCACCCUGCCUCAGAGACAACGCUGGAUCCUUAACCUGCUGCACCACGGGAGGAACUCCUAAUAUUACGGAUUUGAUAAAUUAUCCAGAACACAGCAGAGAAAGACGAAGAGAGAAAAAAGAGUAGGGAAAAGUAAGAAGGAUGGAACAAAGGACAAGAAGGUCCAACAUAUCAAGGAUAUAUGUCCCAGAGGGAAGGUCUGACAGCUGGGGGAAGGCAAGUAUAUAAAGGAGAUGCAUACAAAUGUUCCAGAGCUGAUCAGCAUGAGCCCUCAGAUUUGAGAGGCACAGAAGAUCCAGGGAAGAAUGUAUAAACCCAAACCCCACUUGAACUCGUGGCAGUGACUGCGUGUGUCAGGCACAACAAAUUAUCCCGCUCAGCAUUGUUCUAACCUCUUCUAGCUUUUCUUCCUCCAUCCCACCUCUUCACACAUGGGCACCCAGAACCUGCAAAGAGAUGCUUUUGCAGUAGUGUGUGUAACAGCUCACACUGGAUCUGUGGGAGGUUAUUUCUUACUAAAGAGGGAUCCAUGGCCAAUUCACCUUCCUCCAUCCCACACUCCCUUACAGGUGGGGCACAGGCAUAGGAUCUAGAGUCCCCAAGCCUGCACCUUCUGUUUCCUAGAUGGCAAAACCGGUGAUGUGGGUGGUAGCUGCAGGUAGAAGAGAAUCAGGGACUUGUGUCAACCUACUGGAAGAGGUGUCAAGGUUCCUUGGGGGUGGCCAUUAAGGCCACCAGUUCAAGGGUGACCAGGGCUAAUGGCAGGAAGGAUGACAGAGAAUGCCACUGAAACAGCAUUCCUGGCUUGAAGGAAAGGAUUGAGGGGGAAAUGGACAAGGAUGAUGCAGUAUGAGUGGAGGGGCUCAGGUGAUGGACCGCAGGCUGCCUGGAGGAAGUGGUGGUAAUGGGAGCUUGUGGGCCAGAAAUAUAGCCAGAGGACAGCAAGGCGACCUGGGAUUCCUGGGUGGAGUCAGGGUGUUUCUGCAAUGGGUGCUUCUAGAUUGCAGCGAGGUCCAGGGAGGGGGAGCCGAACUAAGAGAAGAAAGAGUUGCUGGCGUUCAGGGGGUCAGGCCACAGGAGGGAGGCCACAUCACUCGGGGCGGCAGGCGAGGUCAGGGUGCAGAGGACGGCGGGCCGUGUGGACCCCAGGGCCCAGGGAGGGCAGAGAUGCGCGUAACUGGAAGGUGUCAGGGUGGAGGGGGGUUUGACUGAACCAGGAGGAAAAGCUGUGCAGACGUAGAGGAGAGAAGGAGCCUUGGGAGCAAGGAGAACUCCUCCUUCUUCUCAGUUCUGAGGGUGUGAGGAAGGGGCUUUGCUCAGAACAAGAGGUGGAAGCUGGAUCACAGGGAAGGCAGCACGUUCUCCAUGGGAAGCGCGAGCCUGGGGCUUCCAGGGAAGUUGACGGUAGGUCGUGCUCUGUGCCGUGACCGAGGACUGGAUGGGGGGGUGGGAGCCUUACGCUGACACAACAGGGUUGGCUGCUCACAGCAGGUGCAGCUCCCAAGGAAGUCCCUGGUGGAAGGGAGCUCGGAUCUCCAUGGAAGGACACCGUUCCACUGCGGGUGCUUGCGCCUCUGUGGAAACAUUCCCUGCUUCUAAGACUAGAGGAAUUUUUAGUAAAAAUAGAUACCAACGCCUUACUGAAAGAUUAAGAUGCAGAGGGAAAUAUUCCUAACAUGAAGAAGAAUAUCAUCAUGGUAAAACAAACCCCAUAUGACACAACAGGAACCCAGAGAAACAGUCCACAAAACCGGAAAUUGAAAGUGGUCGUUUCCCAACUGCAUCACAAUUUAACAGCCAGGGUGUGUCAGCGCAGUGUCAUUAUUGGGAAAGAAGAGGCCCAACUAGAAGGAAGAAAGUUACAAACCAUUGGUACGUGCAGGAAAUUUUAUUUAAAACCUGAAAAGAAUUAUCAGAAAAUUCAGGGCCAAUAAGAAUUUUCUAUGAGAAAGCAGGAUAUGGGGAAAAAAGUCCAGUAAUCAAAGAUGUUCCCCUGGGCUCUGCAAUACAUAGACCACAUGAAAAUACAACAGGAUGGCAUAUUCACAGUGGCAUCAAGAAUCCCAAAAGUCCUAGGAACGACCAAACCCCAAAUAGCCAGGACUGUGUGAAAUUCCACUGAGACAGCAUCACUCUAAAUUGAAUAAAUGGAGAUAAAUAUCAAUAUUUGAAAGUUGUUCUUUCUUUGGAAAUUAAUGUACAUAUUUAACAAUAUCAAAAAAAAUCUUCAGAAGGAAACAUGUUGGAAUCAAAUAAUUCUAAAAUCCAUUUAAAUUAGAAAACCAAGAAUACCUAUGAAACAGAGUGAAACAGCAAAUUUUAAAACAUCUAAUAAAACCACAAGAAUUAAAUCAGCAUGGCAUUGGGCUAUUACCAGAAAGUCCAAUGAGAAAAUACACAACCCAGAGAGUUUCUGGGGUAGAAAACCUUCACAAAAGGCGAAGGUUGCAUCACCUCAGGGCAGGCAGGGGUGUGAAUCGGGGGCGGGGGGGGGGAGGUGUUCAAUUAAUGUGAUAAGUCAAUUGAUGAGCCCUUGGGAGACAGACUUAUUUACUUAUUCCUCAGCAAAUGGAAGUUCCUGGACCAGGGGUAGAAUCUGAGCCGCAGCUGCAACCUAUACCACAGCUGCAGCAACGCUGGCUCCUUAAUCCACUGCCCCAGGCCAGGGACUGAAUCUGCACCUCUGCAGUGACCUGAGCCACUGCAGUCAGAUCCUUAACCCCCUGGGCCACAGCAGGAACUCUGGGAGAAGGAUUAUUUAGAUCCUCACUUCAUACCAUGCAACACAAAUAUCAGAGAAAAACAAACCAUAAACAAAUGUGCACUAGCAUUUAUCUGGAUUUGGAUAUGUGGAUUUCCUACAUGUAAAAAAUUAGUACAAAAAUUAAAAAGGAAACCAUUGAUACAUUGAAAGAUGCUGUGAUGUAUACAUAUCAAUGCAUAUUUUUCUUUUUUUGUUUGUUUGUUUUUUGUUUUUGUCUGUUUGCCUUUUCUAGGGCCGCCUCCCUCGGCAUAUGGAGACAAAAGACAAAAAAAAAAAAAAAUACUGAUGGCAUUUUUCACUGAACUAAAACAAAUAAUUCCAAAACUUGUAUGGAGUCACAAAAGACUCUGAAUAGCCAAAAAGAUCAUCAAAAGGCAUCACACUCCUUGAUUUCAACCUAUACUACAAAGCUACAGUCAUCAAAACAGUGUGGUACUUGCACAAGAACAGAAAUACAGAUCAAUAGAACAGAAUAGAGAGCCCGGAAAUGAACCCACGCUUAAACUGCAAAUCAAUCUAUGGCAGAGGAGGCAAGAACAUACGGUGGGGAACAGACAGCCUCUUCAAUAACUGGUGUUGGGAAACUGGACAGCUACAUGCACAAGAUUCAAACUGGACUCCUUUCUUACACAUACAAAAAUAAACUCAAAGUAGAUUAAAGACAUACAUGUAAGGCCUGAAGCCAUAAAACUUCUAGAAGAAACAUAAGUCACAGACUCUUCAACACUGGCUUUAGCAAUAUUUCGUUGGGUGUGUCUCCUCAGGCAAGGGAAACAAAAGCAAAAAUAAAUAAAUGGGACGACAUCCAACUAAAAAGCUUCUGCACAGUGAUGAAAACCAUCAGCAAAACAAAAAGGCCACCUACUGAGUGGGAGAAAAGAGUUGCAAAAGAUAUAUCUGAUCAGGGGUUAAUAUCCAAAAUACACAAAGAAUUCACACAACUGAACAUAAAAGAAAACGCACAACCCAAUUUAAAAAGUGGGCAGAGGAUUCAAAUAGGCAUUUUUCCAAAGAACACAUGCAGAUGGCCAACGGGCCCAGAAAAAGAUGCUCAGCAUCACUAAUCAUCCGGGAAACGCGCAGCAAAACAAUGAGCUGCCACCUCACAGCCGUCAGAACGGCUGUCAUCAAAAAGACCACAGUAAGUGUGAGCAAGCAUGUGGGGAAAGGGACACUCCUGCACGGCUGGUGGGAUUGAAACGGGUUCCGCUGCUAUGGAAUCAAUACGGAGGUUCCUCGAAAUAUUAAAAAUAGAAAUACCAUAGGCUCCAACAACUCCACUCCUAGUUAUUUAUCUCAAGAUAAUGAAAACACUACUUUGAAAAGAUGUAAGCACUCCUAUGUCAACUGCAGCAUCAUUUACAACAGCCGAGAUAUGGAAGCAACUCGGGUGCCCAACCACAGAGAGAUGGAUAAAGACAUCACACACACACACACACCUGGAACAUUACACAUCCAUAAAAAGGAUGAAAUCUUGCCAUGUGCGACAACCUGGAUGGACCCAGAGGGUAUUAAGCCAAGUGAAAUGUCAGACAGAGAAAGACAAUACUGUAUCAUGUCAUUUACACAUGUGAUCUGAGAAACAAAUGAACGGAUAUAAUAGAAACAGAGUCGGAGAUUCGUAGAACAGGCAGGUGGCUGUCAGAGGGGGCGGGGUGAGGGAGGAGAGCAAUAGAUGAGGAGGAUUAGGAGGUACAAACUUCAGGUUCCCGCUGUGGCUCAGCAGUACUGACCCCAACUAGGAUCUGUGAGGACGCAGGUUCGAUCCCUGGCCCCGCUCAGUGGGUUAAGGAGCCUGCAUGGCUGUGAGCUCAGGUGUAGGUCGCAGAUGCGGCUCAGACCCUGUGUGGCUGCGGCUGCGGCUGUGGCCGGCAGCUGUAGCUCUGAUUCAACCCCUAGCCUGGGGGUUUCCACAGGCCACAGGUGUGCCCCCCCCAAAAAGGUACAAACUUCCAGUUACAAAUCAAAUGAGUCAUGGGUGUGAAAGGCACAGCACGGGGCACAGGGUGCAUAACUACGUGACGUCUUUGUCCGGUGACAGGGUGGAACCAGACGUCCAAGUGGCGAGUGGCGAUCUUCUCAAGAUGCAGAGAAACAUCAAACCACUGCGCUGUAGCCCGAACCCAGGCUGCCGGUCAAGCGGACAAACGUGGAGAAAAGGAGGCCGGGUCUGCGGUCACCAGAGGUGGUGGGAGAGGGAGGAGGAAUUGCGUGAAGUGGGCUCAAAAGGAGAGACGUCCGGCUGUGAGGUACCUGAGUCUUCCAGGCGUGUCGCAACAUGGCAAAGUCACGCUGCUGCACGGGAAGAGGCGAGCAGCUGAGAGGAGAACCCUCAGAGCCCCCCGCGAGACGACGGGCGCCCACAGAACCCGUUUGGGUCCUUUCCUCAUCACCCAAGUCCCCUCCAAUUUCACCGUGCCACGUGUCAAUUUUACCACAAAACUGGAAGUGCCGAAAAAGAAAGGUGCUCUCUCUGUGUGUCAUACAGCAGUUAAAAUCAACAGGACUUAUAAAACAGGAGGGCAAAAUGAAUGGCUCUGUUAAGUGAAAAAGGUUAUGAAUUGAUAACUCAUAAUUGAAGAAAUACAACUGGUUAAUCUGUAUUUGAGAAAAGAAUAGUUCCGCCCCC